This 459-nucleotide ribosomal RNA is filed under the name uncultured bacterium. RNAcentral describes it as "partial 16S ribosomal RNA". It matches the Rfam family "Bacterial small subunit ribosomal RNA", at positions 338 to 795 of the family's 1533-position model. The record is from RNAcentral.
CCUACGGGAGGCAGCAGUGAGGAAUAUUGGUCAAUGGCCGGAAGGCUGAACCAGCCAAGCCGCGUGAAGGACGAAGGUGCCAAGCAUUGUAAACUUCUUUUGUCAAGGGACAAAAUCAGGCUCGAGAGCCUGACCGAGGGUACUUGAAGAAAAAGCAUCGGCUAACUCCGUGCCAGCAGCCGCGGUAAUACGGAGGAUGCGAGCGUUAUCCGGAUUUAUUGGGUUUAAAGGGUGCGUAGGCGGAAUGCCAAGUCAGCGGUAAAAUCGCGGGGCUCAACCUCGCUCCGCCGUUGAAACUGGCGUUCUUGAGUGGGCGAGAAGUAUGCGGAAUGCGUGGUGUAGCGGUGAAAUGCAUAGAUAUCACGCAGAACUCCGAUUGCGAAGGCAGCAUACCGGCGCCCAACUGACGCUGAAGCACGAAAGCGUGGGUAUCGAACAGGAUUAGAUACCCCUGUAGUC